Molecule: long non-coding RNA, 759 nt
Organism: Oryzias melastigma (Indian medaka)
Lineage: Eukaryota; Metazoa; Chordata; Actinopteri; Beloniformes; Adrianichthyidae
Exons: 3
Source: RefSeq, a predicted model, not a curated record
GACAGUUGUUUUCUUUUUUAAAUUAGGUAAUGGAUAGGCUUUGGCAGAGUGGCUUUGAAAAGAAGAAAGAAUAUGGAAGCUUCUGGAAACUACUCUGACAGGACAUUCAAUGAGCCAAGACUGCAGCAGUGCGUGGGCAUAGAGAUGUUGCUUCACAGGUGCAGUUUGGACGUGGCAGCUUUGAGAGAACAACUCAGGGCUCAGGGGAGGGGCUUCAAGCAGGUGGUUUACAAAAUGGCUGACGUUGCUGCUGGCUGUGCCUAAAAAGCACAUCCGGUUGGGCUCACAGCCGAUGGAAGGUGGAGGGAAAAGUCUGUGCACACAACUGAAGGAGUCUCUUACUGAGGAUGAUGCCCGUGCAGACCAGAGCAACGCCGCUCGCGAUGGUGGAGACGACGACGGCCAGGACCAGGGAUGUGGACAUCUCUCCCGGUGGGGGUGCAGCUUUGGGAAGGCGCAGUGAGAAUUCCUCGUCAUCGCAGACGCAGAGGAUGAAGUGGCUCUCUUCUUCUCGCUUGCAGCUUUGUGUCUUGCAGUGACUGCAGUUCAGCUGCACCUUGAUCUCGCAUUCGCCGUGACCUUCCAUCGCUGGAAUAACAAUGAUGCAUCAAUGAAAAAAUGUCAUGUGCAUGAAGUAAAAAUAGUCUGAAAAAUGACCUCAUGUGAGGGCUAUCAGUGGCUGCCAUAAAUAUAUAUAUUUAUGUGUUACUUUACCCCCACGUGGAUUUAUCGUAGCAUUACACAUUUCCUUAUUUAUUA